AGCGACAGGCUUAACACAUGCAAGUCGAGGGGCAGCACGAUGUAGCAAUACAUUGGUGGCGACCGGCGCACGGGUGAGUAACGCGUAUGCAACCUACCUAUCAGAGGGGAAUAACCCGGCGAAAGUCGGACUAAUACCGCAUAAAACAGGGGUUCCACAUGGAAAUAUUUGUUAAAGAAUUAUCGCUGAUAGAUGGGCAUGCGUUCCAUUAGAUAGUUGGUGAGGUAACGGCUCACCAAGUCCACGAUGGAUAGGGGUUCUGAGAGGAAGGUCCCCCACACUGGUACUGAGACACGGACCAGACUCCUACGGGAGGCAGCAGUGAGGAAUAUUGGUCAAUGGGCGAGAGCCUGAACCAGCCAAGUCGCGUGAAGGAUGAAGGAUCUAUGGUUUGUAAACUUCUUUUAUAUGGGAAUAAAGUGAGGAACGUGUUCCUUUUUGUAUGUACCAUAUGAAUAAGCAUCGGCUAACUCCGUGCCAGCAGCCGCGGUAAUACGGAGGAUGCGAGCGUUAUCCGGAUUUAUUGGGUUUAAAGGGUGCGUAGGUGGUUAAUUAAGUCAGCGGUGAAAGUUUGUGGCUCAACCAUAAAAUUGCCGUUGAAACUGGUUGACUUGAGUAUAUUUGAGGUAGGCGGAAUGCGUGGUGUAGCGGUGAAAUGCAUAGAUAUCACGCAGAACUCCGAUUGCGAAGGCAGCUU
This 697-nucleotide ribosomal RNA is filed under the name uncultured Bacteroidales bacterium. Its description in RNAcentral is "bacterial SSU rRNA". It matches the Rfam family "Bacterial small subunit ribosomal RNA", at positions 38 to 727 of the family's 1533-position model. Lineage: Bacteria; Pseudomonadati; Bacteroidota; Bacteroidia; Bacteroidales. The record is from RNAcentral.